This 476-nucleotide long non-coding RNA is filed under the name Rhagoletis pomonella (apple maggot). Its description in RNAcentral is "uncharacterized LOC118741619". Lineage: Eukaryota; Metazoa; Arthropoda; Insecta; Diptera; Tephritidae. The record is from RNAcentral.
CGUUAUGUGAACAAAAUUAAUAUACCCUUGUGCACAAGUGCGCUCGGGUAUAAAAAUCGAGCAUUCUGUAUGCCGAAUGACUGGCGAGAUUCAGAAUAAGGAUAUGGAUGAAGUCGCCAGCAUGCUCCCUUUAGAAACCCUUACAGCAGUGAGGGAAAUAGAAGAAAAACUGCAGUUAAGAGAUUUCGCUCAAUCAAUGGAACUUCGGAGGAUGUGAGCACUGUUACCCGUAAAGUUUUUACGGAUGACCUCCUGGAGAAAUAUAACUGGGAUGGGAGGUGGGAAUAGAAGUCGUUGGCAGAGCUUACGCUUGUGAACACGACUCUAAGAGAUGUCUUCAAAAAUCAAGGAGCCAUUAAUUAUCAAAAAAAUGUCCGAAAAGCAGUAGAACUGAGUCACCACCGUGUUCAGCAAAAAAAAUAUUUAAAUAAGGGAAAAUCUAAAUAAUUUGUUUACAUUUAUUAUAUAUCUACUUA